RNAcentral lists this ribosomal RNA (253 nucleotides) under uncultured bacterium. Its description in RNAcentral is "partial 16S ribosomal RNA". It matches the Rfam family "Bacterial small subunit ribosomal RNA", at positions 524 to 776 of the family's 1533-position model. The record is from RNAcentral.
UACGGAGGGUGCAAGCGUUAUCCGGAUUCACUGGGGUUAAAGGGUGCGUAGGUGGUCAAGUAAGUCAGUGGUGAAAUCUCCGGGCUUAACCCGGAAACUGCCAUUGAUACUAUUUGUCUUGAAUACUGUGGAGGUCAGCGGAAUAUGUCAUGUAGCGGUGAAAUGCUUAGAUAUGACAUAGAACACCAAUUGCGAAGGCAGCUGGCUACACAAAUAUUGACACUGAGGCACGAAAGCGUGGGGAGCAAACAGG